AACUUACAGACCUUUUAAGUCGCUUUGGAUAAAAGCGUCUGCUAAAUGACUAAAU
Molecule: non-coding RNA, 55 nt
Organism: Danio rerio (zebrafish)
Lineage: Eukaryota; Metazoa; Chordata; Actinopteri; Cypriniformes; Danionidae
Source: Rfam